Molecule: long non-coding RNA, 602 nt
Filed under: Mytilus galloprovincialis (Mediterranean mussel)
Lineage: Eukaryota; Metazoa; Mollusca; Bivalvia; Mytilida; Mytilidae
Source: RNAcentral
CCUUAAUUAAAUUUUUUCCGGAAUAGUAAUUUCUUUUUCUGGAAAAGUAAUACCAAUUUGCGGAAACGUAAAAACGCCGCUACUUAUUUCGGAAAAGUAAUGCACGAAAAUGCGGAAACGUGAAAUUGGACUUUUGGAAAAAAAAAAAUAACUACUAAAGGACAUGUUAGCGCCGACAUGAGUUGUAAGAAAAGAUUUCCAAAACAACCAUAUCAUUAAGAAGGAAUGUUUACAUGCUAUACUCUCGUACUAGUAUUACAGGGUUCUUGUGGCGUUCACCUUAGACACACAUCUUUUUAACGAUGUUUAACAAGAAAAUCCCUAUUUAGCGGACAAGCAAUUUUUUUUCUGUUAUUGAAUAUCGAGAAAGAAAAUAAAUCCCGAAAUUAAUUUGGAACUUUGAUACUCAAUAGUUUCCCAUCAAAAUAUUCACAAUUAGUGUUCGUCCAGUGGCAUACAUAACAAUCUUAUUUCUAUGUGCAAUCAACAAUGAGCAAAACCCUAACCUUGUAGUCAUUUAUAAAAGACCCGAAAUGAUAAAUGUAAAAACAAUUCAAACGAGAAAACUAACGGCAUGAUUUAUGUACAAAAUGUGAAAAUUC